GCCUCUAACUGGAACUUAGCCUGAUCGAGAAAAAAUGCCCCUCCAUCCAUGAGAAUGAGCUGACUGCUGCCAUGACGUGUGCCUCUAACUGGAACUUAGUCUGAUUGAGAAAAAAAGCCCCUCCAUCCAUGAGAAUGAGCUGACUGCUGCCAUGACGUGCCUCUAACUUGAACUUAGCCUGAUUGAGAAAAAAAGCCCCUCCCUCCAUGAGAAUGAGCUGACUGCUGCCAUGAUGUGCCUCUAACUGGAACUUAGCCUGAUUGAGAAAAAAAAGCCCCUCCAUCCAUGAGAAUGAGCUGACUGCUGCCAUGACGUGCCUCUAACUGGAACUUAGCCUGAUUGAGAAAAAAAGCCCCUCCAUCCAUGGGAAUGAGCUGACUGCUGCCAUGACGUGUGCCUCUAACUGGAACUUAGCCUGAUUGAGAAAAGAAAGCCCCUCCAUCCAUGAGAAUGAG
Molecule: long non-coding RNA, 455 nt
Organism: Ornithodoros turicata
Lineage: Eukaryota; Metazoa; Arthropoda; Arachnida; Ixodida; Argasidae
Exons: 6
Source: RefSeq, a predicted model, not a curated record